RNAcentral lists this ribosomal RNA (313 nucleotides) under uncultured archaeon. Its description in RNAcentral is "bacterial SSU rRNA". It matches the Rfam family "Archaeal small subunit ribosomal RNA", at positions 1047 to 1325 of the family's 1478-position model. The record is from RNAcentral.
GAAACCCAAACUCACAGUUGCGAGCAGAUCCCUUCGGGGAUGCUGGGCACUCUGUGGGGACCGCCAUCGCUAAGAUGGAUGAAGGUUUGGGCCACGGCAGGUCAGUAUCGGAUGCGGAGUUGCGAACUCCCAUUCGCCGAAGCCCCGAAUCCCCUGGGCCACACGCGGACUGCAAAGGCGAGGACAAUGGGUUGCUACCUCGAAAGGGGACGCUAAUCCCGAAACCUCGUCGUAGUUAGGAUUGCGGGUUGCAACUCACCCGCAUGAAUAUGGAAUCCCUAGUAACCGUGUGUCACCAUCGCACGGUGAAUAC